UGGUGAUAUCACAUUGUAACACCAGUUCUCAUCUAAUCACCAAAGUUAAGCAACAUUGUGCAUAGUCAGUACUUUGAUGGGGUGUCUACUGAGGAAUGCCAGGUGCU
Acanthosepion pharaonis is the source of this 107-nucleotide non-coding RNA. Lineage: Eukaryota; Metazoa; Mollusca; Cephalopoda; Sepiida; Sepiidae. The record is from the annotation of a GenBank genome assembly.